Molecule: ribosomal RNA, 286 nt
Filed under: uncultured bacterium
Lineage: Bacteria
Description: partial 16S ribosomal RNA
Rfam family: Bacterial small subunit ribosomal RNA
Source: RNAcentral
GACGAACGCUGGCGGCGUGCUUAACACAUGCAAGUCGAGCGGUAAGGCCCUUUUCGGGGGUACACGAGCGGCGAACGGGUGAGUAACACGUGGGUGACCUGCCCUCAGCUCUGGGAUAAGCCCGGGAAACUGGGUCUAAUACCGGAUAUGACUUCAUGACGCAUGUUGUGGGAGUGGAAAGCCUUGUGCGGCUGAGGAUGGGCCCGCGGCCUAUCAGCUUGUUGGUGGGGUGANGGCCUACCAAGGCGACGACGGGUAGCCGGCCUGAGAGGGCGACCGGCCACAC